This is a long non-coding RNA of Orussus abietinus, 1296 nucleotides long. RefSeq lists it as uncharacterized. The record is from RefSeq and is a predicted model, not a curated record. The transcript has 2 exons. Lineage: Eukaryota; Metazoa; Arthropoda; Insecta; Hymenoptera; Orussidae.
CCCGGUCGAGGACACAAAGGAGUCCCAAAGCGAGCGAUUUCGAGGCUCGUCGAGGGAACGGGAUCGAAGGGGUGGUUCCUCUUGGUUUUCACCGGUCUCGACCCGAAACCCCAAGAGUCUCGAUCUGUACGUUCGGGGACAAAGUUAAUCGGAUCGUUUUUCUUGGGACAGGUCCCGUAAAAUGCGAUACGAGGAAGAAACGUCGAGUUCGGAGAUCGAGCGCAAGAACGUACCGAUUGCUCGCGGGACGAUGUACGUACAUACCUCGAGGCCGAAGAAUAGAACCGUCCAGCCAUAGAGAAUGCUGGAGUACCGCGGAGCGAAGAUACGUUUCCAAAGACCUGAAAAACAUGUGACGCCGAUCGAGAGAAAGAUGACGAGAUCGUGGGAAUGAUCGUCGGGGUAAUUCAUUGCUAGACUACGUUGUCAGGGAAUCGAUCAAAUCGUAGUAUCUGGCUCGUUACAACUACGACUCUUUUAUCAGCCGAUCCUCUCCACGCGUUGGAACGGUAGAUACGGAUCUUUCGUGCUCGUUCGAUCACGCGUCGAUGCCGCUACCCGUUAAAAAGAGAUAUUUAAUUUUCUUAUUGGUUACGUUCUCGAAAAUAACUUCGGUUAAGAUUCGAAUAGUCGAUACGUAACCGUAUCUGGGGAAUUUAGAUAGUAAUUUCUGCGACGCGCCAUCGAUCGUGCAUCCCGAGAGGCGCAAAGAUUAAAGAUUUAAUUAUUGCGUUCACGUAAUUCAUGAGGUAUUUCUUUCUAGCUUCGAUCCGGUUCCUUUACUUUUAGGUGAAAGGCGUAAAAGUAAUUGCGUCCGGUGAAAAUCCCUCGGAAGGUGUGAGCAAAAGGAGCGUUUCUUUGUAUGUACACCGCUGUUAAGAGGAAAGUUUUACCGAGGAGGCUUCAGUUUCUGUCCAUUGUUGGGGAGUGUCCUAGUCUUUGAGGAAAAGACGAGCCGAUUUACGCAUUCGGUUCUCGGAAGAUGUACAAGGAAUUCGCAACCUGCGUGCGAUGAAAUUACGUUAACCAUUUAUUUGUGGAAGUCCUCGCGUGGAUGAUAAAUCGAUAUCGGAGUAAUGAGUAUCGGAAGAAGUAUCCGCUUAUCAUAUGCGAAUGCGUUUUUAUUUUUUUUUCAUUAGCGUAAGAAAAGAAGAACAGUGGGAAGUAACUCUUUAUCGCGUUUUAAUAAGUUGACGCGCAAAUACUCGACACCUUAUUCGAUCGAUCUGUAUGGCCGGUGCAAUUUUGUAGUAAAAAUAUAACGAUCUCUUAAAAGAAGAGAUCGGAUUUUAUCGA